AACGAACGCUGGCGGCGUGCUUAACACAUGCAAGUCGCACGAGAAAGUCGUAGCAAUACGGCGAGUAAAGUGGCGCACGGGUCAUUAACACGUGGAUAAUCAACCUCUGGGAGGGGGACAACCUGUCGAAAGACGGGCUAAUACCCCGUAAGACCACGGAAUCUUCGGAUUCUGAGGUAAAAGGCGGCCUCUACUUGUAAGCUGUCGCCUGGAGACGAGUCCGCGCACCAUUAGCUAGUUGGCGGGGUAACGGCCCACCAAGGCCAAGAUGGUUAGCUGGUCUGGGAGGACGACCAGCGACCAUGGAACGGAGACACGGUCCAGACUCCUACGGGAGGCAGCAGUGAGGAAUAUUGGACAAUGGGCGAAAGCCUGAUCCAGCGACGCCGCGUGAGUGAUGAAGGCCUUCGGGUCGUAAAGCUCUGUCGGAGGGAACGAACAAGGGUGACCUAACACGUCAUCCCCUGACGGUACUCUCAAAGGAAGCACCGGCUAACUCUGUGCCAGCAGCCGCAGUAA
RNAcentral lists this ribosomal RNA (519 nucleotides) under uncultured bacterium. RNAcentral's name for it is "partial 16S ribosomal RNA". It matches the Rfam family "Bacterial small subunit ribosomal RNA", at positions 29 to 523 of the family's 1533-position model. The record is from RNAcentral.